This 767-nucleotide ribosomal RNA is filed under the name uncultured organism. RNAcentral's name for it is "bacterial SSU rRNA". It matches the Rfam family "Bacterial small subunit ribosomal RNA", at positions 712 to 1489 of the family's 1533-position model. The record is from RNAcentral.
GUGGCGAAGGCGGUGCUCUGGGGUGUACCGGACGCUGAGAGACGGAAGCUAGGGGAGCGAACAGGAUGAGAGACCCUGGUAGUCCUAGCCCUAGACGAUGGAUGCUAGAUGUGGGGUCGAGAAGACUCUGUGUCGCAGUUAACGCGCUAAGCAUCCCGCCUGGGGAUUACGGCCGCAAGGCUAAAACUCAAACGAAUUGACGGGGCCCCGCACAAGCAGCGGAGCGUGUGGUUUAAUUCGAUGCUACACGAAGAACCUUACCUGGGUUUGACAUGUAGGUGGUAGAGAAGCGAAAGCGGAUCGACCCUUCGGGGAGCCUACACAGGUGCUGCAUGGCUGUCGUCAGCUCGUGCCGUGAGGUGUCGGGUUAAGUCCCGUAACGAGCGCAACCCUUGCCCUUAGUUACAAGUGUCUAAGGGGACUGCCGGCGGUAAGCCGGAGGAAGGUGGGGAUGACGUCAAGUCAGCAUGGCCCUUAUAUCCAGGGCUACACACACGCUACAAUGGUCAGUACAAAGGGCAGCGAAGCCGCGAGGUGAAGCGAAUCCCAACAAAGCUGAUCUAAGUUCGGAUUGCAGGCUGUAACUCGCCUGCAUGAAGCUGGAGUUGCUAGUAACCGCGCGUCAGCUAUAGUGCGGUGAAUACGUUCCCGGGGCUUGUACACACCGCCCGUCACGUCAUGGGAGUCGGUAACGCCUGAAGCUGGGAGUCUGGCCCUCACAGGGGGGACCCCAUCUAAGGCGGGGCUGGCAACUGGGACGAAGUCGU